This 428-nucleotide ribosomal RNA is filed under the name Capnocytophaga granulosa. RNAcentral describes it as "bacterial SSU rRNA". It matches the Rfam family "Bacterial small subunit ribosomal RNA", at positions 28 to 460 of the family's 1533-position model. Lineage: Bacteria; Pseudomonadati; Bacteroidota; Flavobacteriia; Flavobacteriales; Flavobacteriaceae. The record is from RNAcentral.
GAUGAACGCUAGCGGCAGGCCUAACACAUGCAAGUCGAGGGAGAAGCCCUUCGGGGCAGAAACCGGCGCACGGGUGCGUAACGCGUAUGCAACCUACCUUUCACAGGGGGAUAGCCCGAAGAAAUUUGGAUUAAUACCCCAUAAUAUUAUUGGAUGGCAUCAUUUGAUAAUUAAAAUUACGAUGGUGAAAGAUGGGCAUGCGUCCUAUUAGCUAGUUGGAGUGGUAACGGCACCCCAAGGCUACGAUAGGUAGGGGUCCUGAGAGGGAGAUCCCCCACACUAGUACUGAGACAGGGACCAGACUCCUACGGGAGGCAGCAGUGAGGAAUAUUGGUCAAUGGUCGGAAGACUGAACCAGCCAUGCCGCGUGCAGGAAGAAUGCCUUAUGGGUUGUAAACUGCUUUUAUAUGGGAAGAAUAAGGCGUACG